Long non-coding RNA from Prionailurus viverrinus (fishing cat), 641 nucleotides. RefSeq lists it as uncharacterized. The transcript has 2 exons. Lineage: Eukaryota; Metazoa; Chordata; Mammalia; Carnivora; Felidae. The record is from RefSeq and is a predicted model, not a curated record.
UUCGCCUUUCACCCUUUGGAGACGGAUUUCGCCUUCUCUUGAAUCUCAUCUUUCUGUUAGCCAUAUCUUCCUAUCAGACUCUGAAACAAAAAACUCCACCACUCACCACCUCUUUGAUACUCCCAGAGGACUUUGUGGUUUUAUCUACCUUAAUCCUAAAUUUCCCUGGGAAAGCAAUGAGAACUGGCUUCGACCUCUGCUUUAGGAUGUGUUCCUUCAUGUGACCCUUCUUCCCCACGAUCUCAGGCUGAAAAGUUGUAGGUCAGGUUUGUUCGUCCUGGUAAAGAUUCCUGUUUCCCAGAGUAGCAGGCACGCGGUGGUCUCAGCCUCUUGGUCCUACCCUGUGGCUGCUGCUGCGCAGACGCACUGGGAGGCACGGGUCUGUUGUCAGACAAGGGCGGCAAAGCUGAUCUCCCAGGAACUUCGGUAGACCAGAGCUUGCUUUCGUGUGCAGCCAGGGGACACGCAGCCUUCACCAACGGUAAUGACAGACUGAAGAGGAGUCCUUCACUUAAUCCUGCCCAAAGGGGCCACGAUCCUUCCCCCAGCACCGGCCCCGCCGCCCUUCCUCGACCCCCUCCACACUGGCCUAGAAGCGUAAGGGAUGAAAAGCAGAAAAUAAACACUUGUCCCAUCACUGA